ACCAGACUCCUACGGGAGGCAGCGGUAGGGAAUUUUGCGCAAUGGGAGAAACCCUGACGCAGCAACGCCGCGUGAUUGAUGAAGCCCUUCGGGGUGUAAAGAUCUGUCAGUGGGGACGAAACUUGACGGUACCCACAGAGGAAGCAUCGGCUAACUCCGUGCCAGCAGCCGCGGUAAUACGGGGGAUGCAAGCGUUAUCCGGAUUUAUUGGGUUUAAAGGGUGCGUAGGCGGAAUGCCAAGUCAGCGGUAAAAUCGCGGGGCUCAACCUCGCUCCGCCGUUGAAACUGGCGUUCUUGAGUGGGCGAGAAGUAUGCGGAAUGCGUGGUGUAGCGGUGAAAUGCAUAGAUAUCACGCAGAACUCCGAUUGCGAGGGCAGCGUACCGGCGCCCAACUGACGCUGAAGCACGAAAGCGUGGGUAUCGAACAGGAUUAGAUACCCCCGUA
This 445-nucleotide ribosomal RNA is filed under the name uncultured bacterium. Its description in RNAcentral is "bacterial SSU rRNA". It matches the Rfam family "Bacterial small subunit ribosomal RNA", at positions 330 to 792 of the family's 1533-position model. The record is from RNAcentral.